GGCUUUGUAGUGUAGUGGUUAUCACUUGAGAUUCUGAUUUGGAUGUGAUCACCAGUGUUCUCAAAACCCAGGUUCGAACCCUGGCAAGGCCU
Paxillus involutus ATCC 200175 is the source of this 92-nucleotide transfer RNA. It matches the Rfam family "tRNA". From Rfam's summary of the family: Transfer RNA (tRNA) molecules are approximately 80 nucleotides in length. Their secondary structure includes four short double-helical elements and three loops (D, anti-codon, and T loops). The record is from Rfam. NCBI's taxonomy places the organism in Eukaryota, Fungi, Basidiomycota, Agaricomycetes, Boletales, Paxillaceae.